Molecule: long non-coding RNA, 2656 nt
Organism: Apis cerana (Asiatic honeybee)
Lineage: Eukaryota; Metazoa; Arthropoda; Insecta; Hymenoptera; Apidae
Source: RefSeq, a predicted model, not a curated record
UAAUAGUCAUAAUUGAAUAAUAAUAUAAAUUUCUUUUUCGUUUCAUUUUAAGUAUUUUUUUUUAAAUUUAUCAUAUUUUUAAUAGGUUAAAAUAUAAUAUAUUUUUAUUAGAAUACCCUCUAAUCUAUUUUAAUUACUGUUUAAUUUCUUUUUAGAUGAAGUUCUAUAAAUAAGGAUAAAAUGUAGAGGAAAAUACGUGAAAGAUGAAAUUGAUCAGGAGAGGAAAAUGAAUUAUUUUGUACAAGAGAGAAUCUGAGUUAUUCUUGAGAUGAAUCGAAGUUUCGUUUAAUUUUUGAAUAAUAUAAAGUUUUUUAAACUGCAUCGAAAUACACGAAUAUCUUCUUUAUGGUGAUCUCUUCUAUUCUGAAAAUCAGCCUGAUGUAUCGAAGAAAAUUUUUUAUAAUUGAAUGAAGAAAAUAAGAAUUGAACAAUUAAAGAAGUAAAAAAUAAAUUGUGAUCAAAUUUUUGAUAUUUUGUUUGAAUAAUGAAGCCAGUUAUUUAAUCCAAAAUAAAAGAGUAAUUACCGGAUAUUUCUUUUCUAUAUUAAGAUCAUGAUGAUUUCUAAUAAACGGAAAAAUCCAAUAAACGGAAUGAAGACCGUAUCAAUAUUCAUUUAAGUGAAUAAUUAUGAACAAAGAGUUAAUCGAAUCUUCAACCUAAACAAUCUUGAACGGGAUUGUAUUAUCAUUCACAAUUAUAUAUUUAUUCACAAAUCAGUGCCAGUUUUGUCGGAAUAUUACAGCAUUAUUUGGAACGAUCCUGGUGGAACAUUGUCCGGAAGAAAGGGUUCGCUGCCAAGCAUGCUUGGAGCGAUCUCGAAGCUGCGGCAACGCGACAUAAAGACCGUUUCAUUUGUAAUACUGCGGAAAGUUUCGUCCUGUCUAGCACAGAAAAGACUAGAGAAAAGCCUAAGGUAGAAACUUUCGAGGGUGGAACCUUUUUUCUCUGUCUUUUUUCUUUUUCAUUUUCUUCUUGUUCUUUUUUUCUCUCUCUUUGUACUUACUCCUAUACUCGUGCACAUGCAUAUAUAUGUAUAUUCCACGAUUGAGCGAAGAAAAAACUGACCCGCUCGUACUUUCGGCGCGUAAUGCUGGCCAGGAGGUUGCAAAAAACUGCAGGCGCGUGCAGCGGAAGUUAGGGUGCAAAAGGGAGUAAAGAAGGAGAGAGAAAGGAGAACGUAGAGGCGAGGCGAAAAAAGCGAUUAGGCCGUCUCGAAUCUCCGAGAAAAAAUUCAGGAGUGAAAUAGUUUUGCGAUUCCUGGGAAUUCUCAUUCCCUUUUGGAGUUGCUGCUUCUUUUAUUCGUUUCCUUGUAUUUUUUAUUGAUUUCUCCGAGAAAUGUCGUUGAUUGAUGAAAAUCAUUAUUCUGUUAAAUUAUAUUACAUAGAAAAAUUGAAAGCUAUGAGAAUUGAUAUUAUAAAAUAUAUAAUGAUUCGAUGAUUAAAAACUAAAUUAAAAAAUCAAUUAUAUUUAUUUAAUUAUGUAUAGAACAAUAGAUAUAUGCAAAUAAUGUAAUAAAUUCAAAGUGAUUUCUUGCUUCUUUCGAAUAUCAUCCAUUAUGUAAAUUAAAAACUAUUCAUCACUAUCUUUAUCUUGCAUCCAUAUAAAAAUCAGUCCUUUUCGAAGUACUAGAAAGCUUCAAAAGAGCCUCCCGGGAAGUUUAUUGAUUCCUAGCCGAAUAGGGCUGAUUAUUUGGUCCCAGAAGGCAGGUAGAAAUCGGCGUAGACGAAGAUCCGGUUAGAAAAUCAGCGAAAGGACGAAGAACGAAGCGAUGAUAUCGAGAUAGGCGCGGUAUAGAGAGAGGUAGCACGGAAGAGUUUGGGGUAAAAAUUUCUAGGACGAGGCGAACGGGUGCAAUGCACCGGUGUACGCGAUAUACGCUCGACGAUCAAUAGCCACCCCACCUUACUGGGCCGGCGGCGCAUGAAUGAACCUCGCCUUUUACACACUACUCGGUAGUAGUAGCUCUCUCUACUCGCGCGCGCCGCCAACGAGCUGCAACGCCGCCGCCUUCGGCCGUGUGCAGCGGUUUUCAAUGCUUCUCUGAUCGGUCCAACUGAAUCGAGAUGAAAUUUAAUCAAUUAGGUGAUUAACAUGAAUCUUGUUGUUUGGUAAAUUGAAAACGAUUAAUCUUUUAUUAAUGAUCUUUCUUUUGUAGUUACAGAUUUUAAAAUUGUGUAUUACGUUUUGGAAUAAUGAAUGAAGAUAAAAAUAGAAGGUAUACGUGGAUGGAAUAGAAUAAAGAAUUUCAUAUUUAAUUUGGAUGAAGUUUCAAAAAUUAAAAUUCAUUAAGAAAUAAAAAUAGUAUUAUCAUUGGUAUUAUCAUUUUAAUUUUCAAAAUUUACGUAAAUUAUGAUUAUUAUUUCGUAUUCAAUAUAGAAUAGUUUCAAGCGAAUAAAGAAUGGAAAGAAUGAAAAUCCGUCCCGAUACAGAAUUGGAUGGAGUCGGCAUUCAUAGAAAAUUCUUAUACAUACUAUGAACAAAAUGUGACCCAAUUUUUCAGAUUCCCAAUAAUCGGUGCCAUAUAGCCGACCUAUCUUCUUUUUUAUUCGAUUCAUCAUUUGGUUUUUUUUCAACACUUGAUUUUUAUUCUUCCAUUUAUUUCGUCAAUAUUUCGUUCUACGAUAUAUUAAUUUUCAAAUAAUAAAAUUUUUUUAAU